RNAcentral lists this ribosomal RNA (824 nucleotides) under Pseudomonas fulva. RNAcentral's name for it is "bacterial SSU rRNA". It matches the Rfam family "Bacterial small subunit ribosomal RNA", at positions 37 to 856 of the family's 1533-position model. Lineage: Bacteria; Pseudomonadati; Pseudomonadota; Gammaproteobacteria; Pseudomonadales; Pseudomonadaceae. The record is from RNAcentral.
UGGCGGCAGGCCUAACACAUGCAAGUCGAGCGGAUGACGGGAGCUUGCUCCUGGAUUCAGCGGCGGACGGGUGAGUAAUGCCUAGGAAUCUGCCUGGUAGUGGGGGACAACGUUUCGAAAGGAACGCUAAUACCGCAUACGUCCUACGGGAGAAAGCAGGGGACCUUCGGGCCUUGCGCUAUCAGAUGAGCCUAGGUCGGAUUAGCUUGUUGGUGAGGUAAUGGCUCACCAAGGCGACGAUCCGUAACUGGUCUGAGAGGAUGAUCAGUCACACUGGAACUGAGACACGGUCCAGACUCCUACGGGAGGCAGCAGUGGGGAAUAUUGGACAAUGGGCGAAAGCCUGAUCCAGCCAUGCCGCGUGUGUGAAGAAGGUCUUCGGAUUGUAAAGCACUUUAAGUUGGGAGGAAGGGUUGUAGAUUAAUACUCUGCAAUUUUGACGUUACCGACAGAAUAAGCACCGGCUAACUCUGUGCCAGCAGCCGCGGUAAUACAGAGGGUGCAAGCGUUAAUCGGAAUUACUGGGCGUAAAGCGCGCGUAGGUGGUUUGUUAAGUUGGAUGUGAAAGCCCCGGGCUCAACCUGGGAACUGCAUCCAAAACUGGCAAGCUAGAGUACGGUAGAGGGUGGUGGAAUUUCCUGUGUAGCGGUGAAAUGCGUAGAUAUAGGAAGGAACACCAGUGGCGAAGGCGACCACCUGGACUGAUACUGACACUGAGGUGCGAAAGCGUGGGGAGCAAACAGGAUUAGAUACCCUGGUAGUCCACGCCGUAAACGAUGUCAACUAGCCGUUGGAAUCCUUGAGAUUUUAGUGGCGCAGCUAAC